GACGAACGCUGGCGGCGUGCUUAACACAUGCAAGUCGAGCGGUAAGGCCCUUUCGGGGGUACGACGAGCGGCGAACGGGUGAGUAACACGUGGGUGACCUGCCCUCCAGCUCUGGGAGUAAGCCUGGGAAACCGGGUACGUAAUACUGGAUAUGACUCCAUGACGCAUGUUGUGGGGUGGAAAGCCUUGUGCGGCUGAGGAUGGGCCCGCGGCCUAUCAGCUUGUUGGUGGGGUGGAUGGCCUACCAAGGCGACGACGGGUAGCCGGCCUGAGAGGGC
This 278-nucleotide ribosomal RNA is filed under the name uncultured bacterium. RNAcentral describes it as "partial 16S ribosomal RNA". It matches the Rfam family "Bacterial small subunit ribosomal RNA", at positions 28 to 301 of the family's 1533-position model. The record is from RNAcentral.